RNAcentral lists this transfer RNA (74 nucleotides) under Candidatus Woesearchaeota archaeon. Its description in RNAcentral is "tRNA-Tyr". It matches the Rfam family "tRNA". Rfam says of the family: Transfer RNA (tRNA) molecules are approximately 80 nucleotides in length. Their secondary structure includes four short double-helical elements and three loops (D, anti-codon, and T loops). The record is from RNAcentral. Lineage: Archaea; Nanobdellati; Candidatus Woesearchaeota.
CCCCACGUAGCUCAACCUGGUGGAGCGCUCGGCUGUAGCCCGGGAGGUCGCUGGUUCAAAUCCGGCCGUGGGGA